RNAcentral lists this ribosomal RNA (497 nucleotides) under uncultured bacterium. Its description in RNAcentral is "partial 16S ribosomal RNA". It matches the Rfam family "Bacterial small subunit ribosomal RNA", at positions 28 to 507 of the family's 1533-position model. The record is from RNAcentral.
GAUGAACGCUGGCGGCGUGCCUAAUACAUGCAAGUCGAGCGAACAGACGAGGAGCUUGCUCCUCUGACGUUAGCGGCGGACGAGUGAGUAACACGUGGAUAACCUACCUAUAAGACUGGGAUAACUUCGGGAAACCGGAGCUAAUACCGGAUAAUAUAUUGAACCGCAUGGUUCAAUAGUGAAAGACGGUUUUGCUGUCACUUAUAGAUGGAUCCGCGCCGCAUUAGCUAGUUGGUAAGGGAACGUCUUACCAAGGCAACGAUGCGUAGCCGACCUGAGAGGGGGAUCGGCCACACUGGAACUGAGACACGGUCCAGACUCCUACGGGAGGCAGCAGUAGGGAAUCUUCCGCAAUGGGCGAAAGCCUGACGGAGCAACGCCGCGUGAGUGAUGAAGGUCUUCGGAUCGUAAAACUCUGUUAUUAGGGAAGAACAAAUGUGUAAGUAACUAUGCACGUCUUGACGGUACCUAAUCAGAAAGCCACGGCUAACUACGUG